CAGUAGCCACGGUAAUACGUAGGUGGCAAGCGUUGUCCGGAAUUAUUGGGCGUAAAGGGCUCGCAGGCGGUUUCUUAAGUCUGAUGUGAAAGCCCCCGGCUCAACCGGGGAGGGUCAUUGGAAACUGGGAAGCUUGAGUGCAGAAGAGGAGAGUGGAAUUCCACGUGUAGCGGUGAAAUGCGUAGAGAUGUGGAGGAACACCAGUGGCGAAGGCGACUCUCUGGUCUGUAACUGACGCUGAGGAGCGAAAGCGUGGGGAGCGAACAGGAUUAGAUACCCGUGUAGUCCCUGUCUCUUAUAC
Molecule: ribosomal RNA, 301 nt
Filed under: uncultured bacterium
Lineage: Bacteria
Description: partial 16S ribosomal RNA
Rfam family: Bacterial small subunit ribosomal RNA
Source: RNAcentral